Molecule: ribosomal RNA, 468 nt
Filed under: uncultured bacterium
Lineage: Bacteria
Description: partial 16S ribosomal RNA
Rfam family: Bacterial small subunit ribosomal RNA
Source: RNAcentral
GACGAACGCUGGCGGCGUGCUUAACACAUGCAAGUCGAACGGAAAGGUCCUGCUUUUGUGGCGUGCUCGAGUGGCGAACGCGUGAGUAACACGUGAGUAACCUGCCCUUGACUUUGUGAUAACAUCUGGAAACUGGGGCUAAUACCGGAUAGGAGCUCCUGCUGCAUGGUGGGGGUUGGAAAGUUUCGGCGGUUGGGGAUGGACUCGCAGGUUAUCCGCUUGUUGGUGGGGUAGUGGCUUACCAAGGCUUUGACGGGUAGCCGGCCUGAGAGGGUGACCGGGCACAUGAGGACUAAGAGACGGCGCAGAAGCCUACGGGCGGCAGCAGGGGAGAAUAUUGCACAAUGGGCGGAAGCCUGAUGCAGCAACGCCGCGUGCGGGAUGACGGCCUACGGGUUGUGAACCACUUUCGCCGGUGACGAAGAGUGAGUGACGGUAAUGGGUAAAGAAGCACCGGCUAACUACGUG